RNAcentral lists this ribosomal RNA (2798 nucleotides) under Stenotrophomonas maltophilia. RNAcentral describes it as "bacterial LSU rRNA". It matches the Rfam family "Bacterial large subunit ribosomal RNA". The record is from RNAcentral. Lineage: Bacteria; Pseudomonadati; Pseudomonadota; Gammaproteobacteria; Lysobacterales; Lysobacteraceae.
AGCGCACACGGUGGAUGCCUUGGCGGUCAGAGGCGAUGAAGGACGUGGCAGCCUGCGAAAAGUAUCGGGGAGCUGGCAACAAGCUUUGAUCCGGUAAUGUCCGAAUGGGGAAACCCACCCGCUUGCGGGUAUCCUGCAGUGAAUACAUAGCUGCUGGAAGCGAACCUGGUGAACUGAAAUAUCUAAGUAACCAGAGGAAAAGAAAUCAACCGAGAUUCCGUAAGUAGCGACGAGCGAACGCGGACUAGCCCUUAAGCUGGAUUGGUUCUAGGAAAACGCUCUGGAAAGAGCGGCCAUAGAAGGUGAUAGCCCUGUAUCUGAAAGGGCCAUUCCAGUGAAGACGAGUAGGGCGGGGCACGUGAAACCCUGUCUGAACAUGGGGGGACCAUCCUCCAAGGCUAAAUACUACUGACCGACCGAUAGUGAACCAGUACCGUGAGGGAAAGGCGAAAAGAACCCCGGAGAGGGGAGUGAAAUAGAACCUGAAACCGUGUGCGUACAAGCAGUAGGAGCUCCGCAAGGAGUGACUGCGUACCUUUUGUAUAAUGGGUCAGCGACUUACUGUUCGUGGCAAGCUUAACCGUAUAGGGGAGGCGAAGGGAAACCGAGUCUGAUAAGGGCGCAUAGUCGCGGGCAGUAGACCCGAAACCGGGUGAUCUAGUCAUGCCCAGGGUGAAGGUGCGGUAACACGCACUGGAGGCCCGAACCCACUCCCGUUGCAAAGGUAGGGGAUGAGGUGUGAUUAGGAGUGAAAAGCUAAUCGAACCCGGAGAUAGCUGGUUCUCCUCGAAAGCUAUUUAGGUAGCGCCUCAUAUGUAUCCUCUCGGGGGUAGAGCACUGUUAUGGCUAGGGGGUCAUCGCGACUUACCAAACCAUUGCAAACUCCGAAUACCGAGACGGACUGUAUGGGAGACACACGGCGGGUGCUAACGUCCGUCGUGAAAAGGGAAACAACCCAGACCCACAGCUAAGGUCCCAAAUUCACUGCUAAGUGGAAAACCAUGUGGAAAGGCACAGACAGCCAGGAGGUUGGCUUAGAAGCAGCCACCCUUUAAAGAAAGCGUAAUAGCUCACUGGUCGAGUCGGUCUGCGGGGAAGAUUUAACGGGGCUAAGCAGUGAACCGAAGCUUGGGGUGCAUAACUUUGUUAUGCGCGGUAGAGGAGCGUUCCGUAAGCCGUUGAAGGUGGAUUGAGAAGUCUGCUGGAGGUAUCGGAAGUGCGAAUGCUGACAUGAGUAACGAUAAUGCGGGUGAAAAACCCGCACGCCGAAAGCCCAAGGUUUCCUUGCGCAACGUUAAUCGGCGCAGGGUGAGUCGGCCCCUAAGGCGAGGACGAAAGUCGUAGUCGAUGGGAAGCAGGUUAAUAUUCCUGCACCUCGCGUAAGUGCGAUGGAGGGACGGAGAAGGUUAGGUGUACCAGGCGUUGGUUGUCCUGGGGAAAGGCGGUAGGUUUGGAUCUUUGGCAAAUCCGGGAUCCUUUAAGACCGAGCACCGAGACGAGCCUUUAUGGCGAAGUCACUGAUACCACGCUUCCAGGAAAAGCUCCUAAGCUUCAGCUUACGCAGACCGUACCGUAAACCGACACAGGUGGGUAGGAUGAGAAUUCUCAGGCGCUUGAGAGAACUCGGGUGAAGGAACUAGGCAACAUGGCACCGUAACUUCGGGAGAAGGUGCACCCUUUUUGGUGGCUCGUGCGAGCUAUAGCUGAAGAGGGUCGCAGUAACCAGGCCGCUGCGACUGUUUAUCAAAAACACAGCACUCUGCAAACACGAAAGUGGACGUAUAGGGUGUGACGCCUGCCCGGUGCUGGAAGGUUAAUUGAUGGGGUCAGCCGCAAGGCGAAGCUCUUGAUCGAAGCCCCAGUAAACGGCGGCCGUAACUAUAACGGUCCUAAGGUAGCGAAAUUCCUUGUCGGGUAAGUUCCGACCUGCACGAAUGGCGUAACGACAGCGGCGCUGUCUCCACCCGAGACUCAGUGAAAUUGAAAUCGCUGUGAAGAUGCAGCGUUCCCGUGGCAAGACGGAAAGACCCCGUGAACCUUUACUAUAGCUUUACACUGAACGUUGAGUUCGUCUGUGUAGGAUAGGUGGGAGGCUAUGAAACUGUGGCGCUAGCUGCAGCGGAGCCAUCCUUGAAAUACCACCCUGUCGUGCUUGACGUUCUAACCUGGGCCCAUUAUCUGGGUCGGGGACCGUGUAUGGUGGGUAGUUUGACUGGGGCGGUCUCCUCCUAAAGAGUAACGGAGGAGCUCGAAGGUACGCUCAGCGCGGUCGGACAUCGCGCACUGUGUGCAAAGGCAUAAGCGUGCUUGACUGCAAGAUCGACGGAUCAAGCAGGUAGGAAACUAGGACUUAGUGAUCCGGUGGUUCUGUAUGGAAGGGCCAUCGCUCAACGGAUAAAAGGUACUCCGGGGAUAACAGGCUGAUACCGCCCAAGAGUUCAUAUCGACGGCGGUGUUUGGCACCUCGAUGUCGGCUCAUCACAUCCUGGGGCUGUAGUCGGUCCCAAGGGUAUGGCUGUUCGCCAUUUAAAGUGGUACGCGAGCUGGGUUCAGAACGUCGUGAGACAGUUCGGUCCCUAUCUGCCAUGGGCGUUGGAGAUUUGAGAGGGGCUGCUCCUAGUACGAGAGGACCGGAGUGGACGAACCUCUGGUGUUCCGGUUGUCACGCCAGUGGCAUUGCCGGGUAGCUAUGUUCGGAAGCGAUAACCGCUGAAAGCAUCUAAGCGGGAAGCGCGCCUCAAGAUGAGAUCUCCCGGGGCACAAGCCCCCUGAAGGAACCAUGUAGACUACGUGGUUGA